Molecule: unclassified non-coding RNA, 261 nt
Filed under: Vibrio sp. PH-0604
Lineage: Bacteria; Pseudomonadati; Pseudomonadota; Gammaproteobacteria; Vibrionales; Vibrionaceae
Description: partial miscellaneous RNA
Source: RNAcentral
AGCUCUUUAACAAUUUGGAAAGCUGACUGAUAACAACGAACGUGUUUGUUGUUAUCAAAUAAAAGUUCUCAACAUCAAUGCGUUUAACGUGUUGAUACCAAACACAUUCAAGUGUUCUUGGGAAAGCUUACUUCGGUAAGUUUUCAAAAUUGAGUCCGGCAAAAUCAAACGUCUCUCGCUCAUUCAAAUAAUGAGAGACAACCUUGGUGACUUGUCUGCAACACGAAACUUCUUCGGGUUGUAUGGUUAAGUGGCUAACCG